Molecule: long non-coding RNA, 1573 nt
Organism: Myotis davidii
Lineage: Eukaryota; Metazoa; Chordata; Mammalia; Chiroptera; Vespertilionidae
Exons: 2
Source: RefSeq, a predicted model, not a curated record
UUCUUUCUUUUUUUUUUCUGAGAGCAUUUUCUAUCAUCACAGCUGGGCAACCAGAAGCUAGUCUAGCAAAUGGGAGUCAGGUUAAGAAGAGGGAUUCAACUAGCAGAUCACCAUUAGAGCAUGAGGCCUGAGAAGAUAUGGAGAACAAUGCUAAUCCCACCUCCUGGUGAUAAAGUCCAUGGAAUGGCUAGAUCUGGUGACCAUCCUCAGGAUCUCACCCAGAUUCUCAGGAAACAGAUCAAGCUAGCAAAAUGAUUCCUAACUAGAAGAAUGCAAAUCACUGCUAGAUGUAGCCCCAAUGUGUGUUCAAUUUAAUUCAACACAAAGGCUAUCAGAGUUGUUCAGUAAAAAGCAGACUCCUAAGCCACAUAAAUACACAAACAUACUCACAAAACCAUCUGCCUUACAGAUUACAACACAUUAAACAGAUUAGGAAAUAUUCUGAAAAAUCCAGGGCCUUGGCUGUUGACUUAAAUUACUGUAAAAUGGGAUAAACAGAUAUAUCAACAAGUCAGCAUGCUCGUAAGUCAUCUAAAAUCUAGUGCAAAGUUUAUAUUCACUUACCACAUUUUAACUUAGAAGACAGAUGCCUGGUGAAAAGGACAUUGGUCUGAGUUAGAGUUGGAUUCAAAUCCCAGAUUUUCCACUAUCUUUGUUUAAUUAACUACUUUAUGCCUAGUUCCUGAAAUGGGGCAAAAAUAAUCAUCUUGUUCAAUAUGCAUUUGGAGACUAUACAAAAAUCACCUACUUGGUGGAAAGUGAUCGAUAAGUCUAGGAAAUUUCUUUAACUCAAAGAAAGAUCCAGUUGACAAGCUUUUCUCCAAUAGGCAUUUGGCAAAAAGAAAAAUAUCAGUGACUCCUCAAUCUGUGAAUACAAUGACAGGUUAAAAAGUUACUUAUCUUUUUCUUUAUUUACUAUUUUGACUAUAAAAGUAUGUAUUUACACAGAAUAAUUUUAAAAUUUGAGUACCCUUUUCUUUUUUAUAAAUGUGAACAAAUUUUAUGGGUAAUGCCAGUAAACAAAUUCAAGCCUGAAGCACUAGCUAAUUGUAAUCUACAAUGUGUCUUUUACAAAAAUAGUUAAAUGUUAUUCUAGGAAUGUUUUAAAUUAAUUUGACAGUAGGAAGGUAGCAUGGUUUAAUAAAGACCUGGAUCCUGGUCAGGGAUCGACAACCACUCAGUCUAUUUUGAAGCCUUAGCAGCCCACAGUUCAAAAUUAAGGUGAGGCCCUUAAAAGGUAAAAUUCUACAACUGUAAUAAAAAACCAUCUUUCCACCAAACAGGAAUUAUACACACAAAUAUCCUUCAUGAUCUGCCACUCCAACUUUAUCUCUUGCUUCUCAUCCUACCCACCCUACAGUGUAGUAGUAUAUACUCCAUCCAUACUGAACAACAGGCAUAUGUUUUAUUGCACUUUGCUUUAUUGAGCUUCAGAAAGGUUGCCCUUUUUAGAAAUUGAAGGCAAGACCCCACACACAGACCAGUAAAAAGAUCAUGACUCGUUUUAUUGUGAUGCUCGCUUUAUUGUGGUGCUCUGGAACCAAACCAGCAAUAUUUCCGAGGUAUGCCCGUA